RNAcentral lists this ribosomal RNA (492 nucleotides) under uncultured bacterium. Its description in RNAcentral is "partial 16S ribosomal RNA". It matches the Rfam family "Bacterial small subunit ribosomal RNA", at positions 30 to 507 of the family's 1533-position model. The record is from RNAcentral.
AUUGAACGCUGGCGGCAUGCUUUACACAUGCAAGUCGAACGGUAACAGGCCUUCGGGUGCUGACGAGUGGCGAACGGGCGAGUAAUGCAUCGGAACGUGCCCAGAGGUGGGGGAUAACGCAGCGAAAGCUGUGCUAAUACCGCAUGUGAUCUGAGGAUGAAAGCGGGGGACCAAGCAGCAAUGUUUGGCCUCGCGCCUCUGGAGCGGCCGAUGUCAGAUUAGGUAGUUGGUGGGGUAAAGGCCUACCAAGCCGACGAUCUGUAGCUGGUCUGAGAGGACGACCAGCCACACUGGGACUGAGACACGGCCCAGACUCCUACGGGAGGCAGCAGUGGGGAAUUUUGGACAAUGGGCGCAAGCCUGAUCCAGCAAUGCCGCGUGCGGGAAGAAGGCCUUCGGGUUGUAAACCGCUUUUGUACGGAACGAAAAGGCUCUGGCUAAUACCUGGGGCUGAUGACGGUACCGUAAGAAUAAGCACCGGCUAACUACGUG